This 1519-nucleotide long non-coding RNA is filed under the name Scleropages formosus (Asian bonytongue). Its description in RNAcentral is "lncRNA (ENSSFOG00015032306.1)". Lineage: Eukaryota; Metazoa; Chordata; Actinopteri; Osteoglossiformes; Osteoglossidae. The record is from RNAcentral.
UGAAUAACUAAACAUGUAAAACAAUGUAAAACACUUUACUCUGUUGAGGAUUUCUGUUCCUCCAACAUGACAGGAGCUGAACUUUGACUCAAGUGUGUUGAUUGUACCUUUAUUGGACUUUUACCGCAUUCUGUUCACUCUAAACUCUAUUAGAGACCUAAAUGUCCCUCACAGCCCUUUGAAUCUACACUUUCCUCAUUUCUCAUGAGUGAAGUAAAAAGUCACUCAUCCUGUGACAUUUACACCUUUACUGACUCCAGGUGUUUAUAGUUCUUUGGUGCCGGACAGAAACCUGUCUGGGUUCAGGUGUCGGUGCUCCAGCUGCACAAGGACACACUGACCAACUACAGUCCGAAUCCCACUGUUGUUAUAGUACCACAGAACACGGUACUUACCCUGAAUUAUAUUUUCCUGAAUCGGUGCUUGUGAUUGGUCCAGAGUGUUAGUGUGAUUUGAAGUAAAUACAGUAUUUGGUUUCAUACAUCAUACAUCCCUGUUCAAGAACGUCUGUAUGAUGAAAGCUGAUGUACAAAGUAAAAUACCCCUUGUGGGAGAAAGAUUAAAGUCAAAGUGAACUUUAUUUUCAUUCCCACAAUAUGGGUAUUGCCACAGCAGGGUUACACACCACCUACACCUGUCACACAUCUCUUGUCGUCUUUGCCAAAGGGUUUGAAUCUCCGCACAACCGAAGUCCACAUCCGCUGUAGAAAAGGUCACAAUAAGUGUAAAGCACAGCAGAACACCACGGGGAGGGAAGAGCAGAGUCUGAAGGACAACAACUAAAGACUGAAGAUGGAGCCACUGCUUAAGUCCAUUGAUCUUAGUGGACAUUCGCUUUCACACAGCAGGCAGUUUAGGGCGGAAAACACGGUAAAAAGGUGAACUGGUCACGUUUCACUGAUUGUGAGUUUAGCUCAGACUGAACAGUUCAAAUCCAGUGGAAUAUGAGUCCGACGUUUCACCUCCACUGUGACACACAAUCCAACUCGUCACCUCCUCACUGAACACUUCACCUUCUUACCGUAGUAAACAUUGUGUACAACUUUGAUUUGUAACAUUUACAGGGCAGAAUCAUUUCUUUGGCAUUAAUAAUAAUCAUACUUAUGAUUUUCAUUGUCAUAAUUACACAAGGACUUGUGUGUUUAAAGUGACUUGUCUUCAGGAGCAGUUUGUACUGUGCUCUACUGUACUGUGCUGUUGCAAGAAGAACAUCCUGGGUUCGAAUCCCCUCUCCUGCUGUAUUAUACUGAAUCAAAGUAUUUACCCUGAAUUACUGCAGUAAAAAUACUGUGCUGUAUAAAUGGACAUGAUUUAUUCCAGGAACACUUUGUAACAUUCCUUUUCUUCAAUUAAUGGGAAAAGGUCAUCUGAUGGACCACUUUUAUGGACCAGAUUGUCUCUUUGGAGGAAGUUGAGUGUAAAAAUCUUUGAAAGACAAGUUUAUAUUGUUGUUAUUUAGCUUAAAAGCACAUUAAGUGCUGCUUGUUUUUCCACACUGAAUGUUCACCUUGUGUGUCGC